RNAcentral lists this ribosomal RNA (585 nucleotides) under uncultured bacterium. RNAcentral's name for it is "bacterial SSU rRNA". It matches the Rfam family "Bacterial small subunit ribosomal RNA", at positions 338 to 916 of the family's 1533-position model. The record is from RNAcentral.
CCUACGGGAGGCAGCAGUGGGGAAUAUUGGACAAUGGGGGCAACCCUGAUCCAGCCAUGCCGCGUGUGUGAAGAAGGCCUUCGGGUUGUAAAGCACUUUCAGUUGUGAGGAAAGGUUAGUAGUUAAUACCUGCUAGCUGUGACGUUAGCAACAGAAGAAGCACCGGCUAACUCCGUGCCAGCAGCCGCGGUAAUACGGAGGGUGCGAGCGUUAAUCGGAAUUACUGGGCGUAAAGCGUACGCAGGCGGUUGAUUAAGCGAGAUGUGAAAUCCCUGGGCUUAACCCAGGAACUGCAUUUCGAACUGGUCAACUAGAGUAUGAGAGAGGGUGGUAGAAUUUCAGGUGUAGCGGUGAAAUGCGUAGAGAUCUGAAGGAAUACCGAUGGCGAAGGCAGCCACCUGGUUCAAUACUGACGCUCAUGUACGAAAGCGUGGGGAGCAAACAGGAUUAGAUACCCUGGUAGUCCACGCCGUAAACGAUGUCUACUAGCAGCUCGGUUCUUAAGAACGGUUUUGCGCAGCUAACGCGUUAAGUAGACCGCCUGGGGAGUACGGUCGCAAGAUUAAAACUCAAAUGAAUUGACGG